UGCGGGUGUCAGGGUUCUCUGUGUUGUCCUACUCUAUUCUACUCCUCAGGUGGUUAUUGAUGGCUGGGGGGCAUGUCCCACACCUGCGGCUCGUCAGAGGCAGCUUCUUCUGGCUUCAUAAGCAGAGCGCAGACUGACGGAAGAUGCCAGAGCCUUAAACCAGUCGUGUUUUGGUGCUUGGAUGCACUCUCCUGUGUCGAAGUCCCGUCCGAAGGAUCAGACCAGUGGAAUUUCCUCGCUCAGAUUUUCCUCGAAUUUCCUCGCUCAGAUUCAGAUUCUGCUCUGGCUCUCCCCCUCAUACUCCCUUGGCGUUACCAAGUCAGGCCUGAGGUUCUCCUCCUGGAUUCCACUGGUGCUCUCUGAACUUUCUGCACUCUGGUGAAACCGUCUGUCACUCCAACCAGUUGAGGCUCGCUCCGGAUCCCUCGCCAGCUCCAUCUGCCGCCCUCCAGCCACUAGCCACCAACACCACCUAGGGUAGGCUCACGGAGUUCCCUCGGCACUCCUUCCCCUGGUUAGGUCUGCCCCAGCUAAUGUCUCUCCCGCUUCGACGUUCAGUCUUCGCCUAGGCUACUUGCAGCCUCGUCCUUG
Long non-coding RNA from Fundulus heteroclitus (mummichog), 591 nucleotides. RefSeq lists it as uncharacterized. The transcript has 3 exons. The record is from RefSeq and is a predicted model, not a curated record. Lineage: Eukaryota; Metazoa; Chordata; Actinopteri; Cyprinodontiformes; Fundulidae.